GGGAGCGGAUAGGCUCUGGUGGGCCUUGCGGACUUCAAAUCCGUGGGCGGUAAUUAAUGCAAUUGCCGCGGUGGGUUCGAUUCCCACCCCUCCCGCCA
Molecule: transfer RNA, 98 nt
Filed under: Candidatus Atribacteria bacterium
Lineage: Bacteria; Pseudomonadati; Atribacterota; Atribacteria
Description: tRNA-Sec
Rfam family: Selenocysteine transfer RNA
Source: RNAcentral